Molecule: RNA transcript, 11618 nt
Organism: Corythoichthys intestinalis (scribbled pipefish)
Lineage: Eukaryota; Metazoa; Chordata; Actinopteri; Syngnathiformes; Syngnathidae
Gene: lrrc38b
Gene name: leucine rich repeat containing 38b
Exons: 3
Source: RefSeq, a predicted model, not a curated record
UCGUGCCACAGUCGGAGGCAGACAUCGGAGCUGCGCGGCUGCGUUGUGCUUGUUUGGGUGUGUGUGCGCGCGUGUGUGUGUAUCUGCACGCAUCAUGCUGCCGCUCGGAUGCUAAUUCCCCGCUCCUGAUUGGACUUAAGAGGACAGCUGGGGUUGUCUUUUUUUAUCGGGGGGGAUCUCUGCCAGGGAAUCAUCACAACAAUAUUAAUAAUAAAAGGUGGGGUGGGGUGUCGGGGAGGGUGGGGGGAUAAUCUUUCAGCACGCUUGAGCGAUGUUCCACGGGAUUCUCUCGGUCACAAAGGCUUUUCCCGCUUGCUAAUGGACCGAUGGAGGAACGUGGCGGCGGCUUGCCAUGUUUGAAUCACAUCUCUGCUUCCCAGACCUUGGUGACCUCAUUCCCUCUCCUCGUGUCCUCAACCAUCCUGUUCAUCCCUGGUCUGUACCUCUGGUUGCUUAAGUCUAUUAACCCUUCUGACGCCUAAAUGAUCUCCUGGACAUCUUCGUUGCUCCGCCGUCGCCCCCUGAGCCCCGCCAUAUUCCGGCAUGUUCCAUCACCGGGGUUGAUUCCCCUUCUACUUUCCUGUUCCCCACCCUCGUCCCAAUCUCCUUUCCUCUGACCCCUUUUUUCCCUAUCAUCCCCUCUACCCAAUUCACCCUCUUUCUCCCAAACACUUUUCCCCUCAUGACCAUGUUGCCAUGUGUCUGCUGGCUCCAGCCUAUCCUUAUGGUGCUGACCUCUGUGUUCUGGACCCGGGGGGAGAACUGCCCAGCAACCUGCCUCUGUCCGGAUCCCCACACGGUGGACUGCAGCGGCCGGGGGCUGAUACACCUCCCAGACGAGAUCCCCCUGGACGUCCGUCGGCUCCUCCUGGCCGACAACUGGAUACCCCGUAUCCCUUCUGACUUCCUGGUUCUGUACAGUGACUUGGUCUAUCUGGACUUGCGGAACAACACGCUCUCAUACAUUGAACCGGGGACCCUCAGCACCUCCUCCAGGCUGGUCUUCCUGGACCUGGGUAGCAACAACUUGACAGAAAUCCCCAAGGGCACAUUCGGGGAGUCCCGGAGCCUCAUUAAGCUGCGACUGGGCAACAACCCCUACCUGAGCAUGGUGAGUGAAGACGCCUUCCUGGGCCUCACCUCGCUCCGGGAAUUGGAACUGGAACGUAAUGCACUGUCGAGCCUCAAGGUGGGCGCGUUAAGUCAGCUGCCCUCCCUGCGGGUAGUGAGGCUCGAGGGCAACCCCUGGGUGUGCAACUGCAACUUUGCCAGUCUGUUUGCGUGGCUCAUGGAGAACAGCCAGAAGCUUCCAAACGGAGUGGAAGGCAUGGAGUGCUCCCUCCCCAUGGACGGCCGUCGCGUGUCCCUGACCCAGCUCUCCAAGGACAGUUUCCGCGAGUGCCAGGCCAGCCUGACUCUAACGGACCUGCUCAUCAUCAUUUUCUCGGGCAUCUCCGUCUCUGUGGUAGCCAUCAUGACCAGCUUCUUCCUGGCUUCCACCGUCCACUGCUUCCAGCGCUGGAGUAAAGGCUCCAAGGGCGACGAGGAGGAGAGCGAGGAGUGACAAGGAUGUACUUUUAUAAAGGGCUCGUAUGAUCCGGAUGUUUCUUGCGUAGACAGGAUUCCACAGAAAAAAGUGUGCGACAUAUUUGUGCUGCCUCCUCUCUGGUGAACGUCCAGGAUUGUUUUACAGAAGGAUCUGGACCUGGUACGGUUGUUGAUUUCCUAGCAAAAGGGCAUCUGACUGUAUGAAAAGUCACUCAUGAGGGAUUAAUAAUAUUAGUGGGCUGCUCAGCUUCACUCAAAACAACUUCACAUUUUUCAAACAUAGCUUAAGUAGCAAUUUGCAUAGUUUGCUGAUAAAACACACACACGCAAACCCUACAGGGGGAAAAAAAAGUGGGGCUGUGUUCACAUCUGUAGCUUGGUACAUUCCGGACCAACGUGUGAUUUUUAUCAUUGGACCAAUGCUUGCACAGUCAAAUAAAAAUAGUCCAAAAAAUAGUGGAAGUAAAUUUUUCAAACCAGCACAGAAAUUUUGCUGUGGGUCGAAUACAUUUUAAUUGUGUAUAUACAGGUGUGUUACAAACGCCGUAUAAUAUGUGGAAAAGUGUUUCAGUAAUUUAACUGAAAACAGGAAACUUGUAUAUCAGGGUCCGGAUUUAGUGAACCCUGCUGUAUAUGUUUCUAUACGUUGACUGCACUUGUUUCAUUAUUUUAUUUCUCAUGAUUAUAGCUUACAGACAACAAACCCCCAUAUCAUGAGCAAGAAAUUGGAUACCAGACACAAAAAAUUAUUGUCAUCAUACACUGUGAAAACAUUUUUUAAUUCAUAGAAAAACUCAAUAGUUUUUUUUUUUAAUAGUCUUUUUCCCACUGAAAAUCAGUUGAAAAAAAAUUACAUUCUUAUUUUACCGUGUAACCGGUCUUGCUGGUGACAUCAUGUCGCACCUUUACCCAUUGUCUCCCCUCUUUGAUCGCACAUCUGCUAUUUUGGCAGUCAAAUGACCAGAGGUCAGACGUUUACUCUGUUACAUUUACUUGGAGGGCUGCAGCUAUCGAUUAUUUUAGUAGUUGAUUAAUUGAUGAACUAGUUCGAAUAAUCGAGUAAUUGGAUAAGGAACAUAAAAAAUUAAAAUACCUGAGCUGAGCCAAAAACUGUAUAAAUAAAUAAAUAAAUAAGGAUCCAUGUACAACAAAAGAACAAUUGGCUAACUUACAUAGCAAAAGUCUGCUAGCUUAAAUGCUAUAAAAUGCUAACGUGUUUUUUUUUUUUUUUUUUUAACAAUACUCCUAACAAAUGGUUCAGACACAUUCCCACAAAAAAGCCUAAAUAUACCUAUAGACUAAAUUAUGAAUGCAUUAAAAAACAUGAGCUCAAACAAAAACUUAGCUUACGUUGGUCUGAACAGGGAGCUGUUGGAUUCAGCCAUUUGAAAUGAGGCAGACCAGAGGGUAGUGUAUCCACCCUAAUCAAUAAAACAAAAUGCAAACACUUUGAAAAUAAACCAUUACAACACGUCUUUAAUUAAACGAAUAUUCGAAGCAAAAAAAUUUAAAUCGAAUAUUUUUUUCUUAUCGAUUUCUCAAGUUAAUCGAUUAAUCGUUGCAGCACUAUUUACUUGGGUAACUUUUUGAGAAAAAUGUACUUCCAAGAGUAGUUUACUAAGCCAUACUUUUUACUUGAGUAGGUUUAUGAAGAAGAAACAAUACUCUUGCUCCCCUACAUUGGGCUAAACUAGUCGUUACAUUUUCUCUAUAUAUUCUACAUAUUAGAUUUUUGCCAGAGACGCAAACAGUGGCUCAACAAGUUUGACCAAUGAGACGUCGCAAUAAUAAUCACAUGACUCCAUUGUACCAAUCAGACUCAAGCUUGGUUUUCUAUGAUCACGCCAACCUGUUCCAUCACGUGGUGUCUUUAAAGCACCAUAAAAAUUAGUGUUUGACAUCAACAUGACUCGAAACCGCAGAUUAUAAUCUCUUUGCCAGUUUUUAUUUGGCACCGAAUGACCACGGAAAACCGGAGAUCCUUUUACUUUCCUAAUAGAAAAUGUUUUCUCCACUGGAGGGAACUCAUGCACUCUGGACUAAUAAUGCUCAAUUUCUGUAGAUUUUUUCCCUCGCCGGAAUACAAUGUUUUUUUAUUGUUGUUUUUUUUUUUUUUUACUUAAUGUGGUUAUGUAAUGUGUUAUAGUACAGUAUAAUAAUGAUAACAGUUCAUUUGGGUAACUGUGCUGAGUAAAAAAUACCAUUGUAAAAAAAAAAAAAAAAAAAAGAUCAAACAUCAACAAAACAAUAUGUAGUUACUCACAUUGUACUCAUUACUUGAUUAUUCUUUUCACGAACUAAAUUUUGGAUGACUGCUUUUACUUGAGUAUUAUUAUUUUGAAGUAACACUACUCUUUCUUGAGUAAAAUAAUAUUUGGCUACCCUACCCAUCUUUGCAAAUGACAGAGCUAGUACAGAUAGUUGGAGUAAGUGCGAUGUGUGUAUACUUUUAGCAAAACAUUACUUCCUGAGUGGUGAAAAGAGUGUACUAGCAGAGGAAACUAAACUGUGCAAUUGGCUCAGGAGUCAGCACGCAUGACUGCCGCAAUAACAACAUAGGUUAAAACUUGGAGAGGGGGAGGAUGCUAAGGACACUCUGAAGACACUUUGAUUCCUAUUCUCUGUGUCUAACAGCUGAACAGGACAGGGUGAAAAAAGUGGAGGGGGAGAAUGAGAAAGGAGGCAUUAUAACGUCACCACCAUCAGACCAAUUACAUGUACAUUUUACAAUUGCUUGAUGUAAAACAGCAGUAAAAAAUGUAGUUCUUUAUCCAGUAAUUUUUUGUUACUUUGACACAUUUUUUAAGUUUUUCAAUUUUUUAAAUGAAACUUGUAUAUUUCUGGCAACCACCACUGCCAGUAAUAUACUGUAUAUUUUUUUUUAUUUUUUUAAAAAAUUUUUUACAUUGCAGAAAUUGGCUAAAAACCAGCUUUGUGAAAAUUGCUUUCCAAUGUGUUUAAAAAAUAUAGUUUGUUUCAGAUUUUCUACAUUAAUUGAUAAGAGUGACCAGUUAAUUGACAUGAAAACAGACAGUGGCUUGAAAUUGAGGGCUAAAAGUGUCAGACAUGUUAGUAAUGUCCCCAUAAAGUAAAGGUAAAUGUCUUCUAAAUUUUGACUAAAAGAGAUCAAAAUGAAGCGCGUUUGUUUGUUUUUUAGUCCACCCAAGCAAGUGUGAACACAACCUUCACCAACAUGUUUUCUGAGGGUUAUUGAGGCUCCGUAGGCUGAUCAUACCCUCUAAAAUAUCCGAAAGAUGUCAUCCAGACCGAUGGCCUCAAUAUUUAUUCUCCCCCUAACCCUUCUGACAUCACAUCCUGUCAUUCCCAUCGUGUAUUUUGCUACCAGGUGAGAUUAAAGGAACAUGUACAGCAGAUAGGCAGAUUCCACAGUAUAUUAUAUAUACUAUGUAGUCACACACGUACGUGCACAAUUAAAACAAGUAUCAUCGUAUAAAUCCAGAGAAUAUACUCUUUCAUUAGCUUGAUGUAGAAAAAUGAACUAGCUCUGAGUAUAAUCCUCACAAUUAGGGCAAAAAAAUGUGGUAUUAUAAAAUGAGUACAUAUACAUCUAUUGUGUCAAUGAAUGCACUUUAAAUGGUGAAUCUAAUUAUGUGACAGCCCUGAUUACACCAUUCUGACUGGUUUUGUCCGCAUCUGCCAAAGAUCAGGUUGAAGCGAAGAGAGCCUUUAGGAUUAAGGUUUUUUAUUUCAUUUAUCUAUUUUUUUCAUAUCAGUGUUUUAGCUCAAUGAGCUAUCUUUGUCAUGUUACUGCCAGGCCACUUCAGGCCCUUAGUCAUCAUGAAAAUUCAUCCAUUUAAGAGCCCUCAUAAUAACCAGUCACUUAAUAAAUCAUCAUUUUCCACGGGAUUGUCGUGCUUUCAAUUCCAAGCUAUAGUGCUCAUGAUUUUACAUCUGAGGAUUGAUUAACUCAUUGGCUGCCAAUGACAGCGAUAGACAUCCGGUCCAUUUUAAUUGGGAGGGAUGGCAGCGAAUGAACAAACGUUCACCACUCUCCUAGUUCAAAUGGAUUAGACGGCUACUAGUGAUAAACUCAUUAAAAGAAAGAGUCAACAAAAAAACUCUGACUAUCUUUCUAUUAAUUCGAAGCUAUGAAGCUAGCUAUUGAUUUUUAACCAAAGUUGGAAUAACUCAUUGGCUACCAUUGACACAAAGCCGUCCAGUCCAUUUGAAGUGGGAGGGUUAGCAGCGAAUUAAUGAAUGGUAAUUUGCUGCCACCCCCAUUGUUUAAACGGAUUGGAUGCCUACUAAUGAUAAACUCAUUUAAAAAACAGUCAAAAAAACAUCUGAUUGUCAUGCUUGCUAUGAGGAUAGCUAAUGAUUUUACAACAGGAGUUUGAAUAACACAUUGACAGCAAUAGAUAUCCGGUCCAUUUUAAUUGGGAGGGUUUGCGGCAAAUGAAUGAAUGUUUACCACUUUCCCAGUUUAAAUGGACUGGACAUCUACUAGUGAUAAACUCAUUUAAAGAAAGAGUUAACAAAAAGUCUUUUGUGCUUUUAAUUCCAAGCAAUGAGACUAGCUAAUGAUUUUGAGUAGCUCAUUGGCUCCCAUUGACACGAUAAACUUUCAGUUCAUUUGUAGUGGGAGGGUUGGCAGCGAAUGUACGAAUGGUCAUUCGCUGCCACCCCCAAUUUCGAAUGGACGUUUACUAGUGAUAAACUCGUAUCAAGAAAGAGUUAAUAAAAAUCUGACAGCCUCAUGCUUCAGUUUUGUGUUUAUCAAGCUUCAAACUCAUAACAUCUUAAGUUAUUCAUUCUAAUUAGUAUUCAAAAUGCAAAUGAGCUGCUUUGAUGUCUAUCCUAAUACAUUUAGAGCUCAAAAAUUCUGUUGACGUUUCAUUUUGUGAGACUUUGCAAAUUGGGUUUUGUAAGAUGCAAAUAAGGGAUUGCUUAUAAUGGUUAGGGCUGGGCAACGAUUAAAAAAUGUAAUCACGAUUAAUAGCAUGAACUUGCAAUUAAUCACAUUGCCAUACAUUCAAAGCCUUAACGAAUGUGGCAAAAUGUUUUGAGACACUUCCUCAUCCUACUGAAUGGUGAAGUUUCUCAAACUGGCCGGGGUUAUAGUAAUACAGUAAUAGUUACAGUAAUAAUAGUCAUACCCCAAUAUGCCCUGACUUCUUCUUCCUAUUGUGUCAGUUCAUAGUUGUAUCCCCUCGGUAAAUUAUUUCAUAAUGCAUUUGUAACACUACUUAUAACCAGGUAGCAUACAGUAAGUAGUAGUAUAUACAGUAGUAGUACUUACAAGUAGAACACGUUAAAUGUGCCAAAAAGACUUACCCUAAUUUUCGGACUAGAAGGCGCACCUGACUAUAAGCCGCCACCCACUAAAUUUUACAUGAAAACAGCAUUUGUUCAUCAAUAAGCUGCAAUGGACUAUAAACCACAACUGUCCUCACUGUAUUAUGGGAUAUUUACACCAAAAAAUAUUAUUUCUAACACUUUGACAGCGACAUCAUCAGACUAUUUUGACAGCAGCAUCAUAAGACUGUCAUAAGACCAAAUGAACCACCAUGAAGCUGUGAACCAAUGGGCUGCAACGCUUCAUUGCUUCAAGAAGCUUAAUUUGGCCAUCACUACUCCCUUGGGGGAGACACUCAACCUCUGCUGCCACCUGCUGUCAACACUGUUGUGGUCCAACAUGCCUCCUACAUGCAUUGCAGCACUUCAGAUGUAAAUAACAAUCAUAACUCAUGAUUUGUGCUAAUUAUUUCUUCAGUUAUAGUUCCAGUUGUUUCAUUAAUUGCUAGUAUUGGUAUUUGGUAACACCUUAUUUGACAGUAGCGCCGUAAGACAGUCAUAAGACCAUCAUAAUUAUGAAAUGACACUGCCAUGAGCAUUAUGAAUGCUUAUGACAGAUGUCCUUUUGUGUCAUCUGGCAAAUGACACUUUUGAAAGGAUGUAAAAGAUCCAAGAUGGACAUACCGUAUUGGCCCGAAUAUAAGACGGUGUUUUUUGCAUUGAAAUAAGACUGAAAAAGAGGGGGUCAUCUUAUAUUCGCGGUCUAGACAUUAUACCCAUUCACGACGCUAAAUGGCGCCAGAUAUCAUUGAAGCGAUGUUCUGUCAUGACAGAUCUCAGCUACGCUCAAGUUUAACCAGUUUGCAUUAUUUUAUUGCAAUGUUUUUCCUGAUUCAGAUUUGUUUCAAGACUACAGUGACAGUUAGACUUCACUUUGAUGGUUAAUACAGUUAUUGCAAUUUUGUUGUUUUAUCACAAUAGGUUGCUUUAUUUACAUUUCAAAAACCAGAAGCCAUUCAUUUACGAAUGUGAUUGAACUUUAGUUUACAUAUUUAAAUGUUCAGAUAUUAAGAUUUGGAUGAGGCAAAAUAACAUGCUUUUUCUCUCAAAUAUAUUGUUAUAAUAAUUUGUUUCGGAUGUACUCUAAUGAUCUUCUGUAUAAAAAUUAAUUUGGUGUUGGAGUCUUGAAAAAGAGGGGGUCGUCUUAUAAUAAUGGCCGUCUUAUAUUCGGGCCAAUACGGUUAUAUGUCAUCAUAAUGGAGCUAGUGACAAAAUUUGCCGGAUGACACUUAUCUAUCAUAAGCAUUCAUUAAUGUCCAUGAUAGUGUCAUGUCAUAAUUAUGACGGUCUUACGGAAGUCUUAUGAUGCUGCUGUCAAAUAAAGUGUUACCUAUUAACCCAAAUAAAUCAACAAAUAAGCCACACUGGACUAUAAGCCGCAGGAUUCAAAGUGAGGGACAAAGUAGCGGCUUACCCCGGUAACACACCAGAAACGUCAACGGCGCGUCAACGAUUCCGCCGCGAUAACGCACAAGUAACACCUCAAUUUCCAUAGGAAGCGUUUUACGAGCAGCGCGUCUGUGGAGCGGCUCGAUCGGUUCACGCGAGGAUUGCAAGAUUAGCAAUUAGAGAGUAUCAGGUAUUUAAAGAUAAUAAUACAAAAACCGUUUGCCUUUCAGACCCAGCAUAUUGGUCAGCUUUCAUUCUGAAAGAAAUAAGAAAAAAGUCUUGUGCACCACGCAGAAAUUAACAAAUUUAAUUGUGUAGCAGGAUUUGUGUAUUAUUCUUAUAAUUUUAUUACAGGUGUUUUCGCUCAUUCCAAUUAAUUUUUUUAUUUGGACUAUUAUUUAUUUUAUUAUGUAUGUUUUAAAAAUGUGAUGUAGUAUUCAUUUAUAUUCUAUAUUUUAUGUUCUUUCAUUUUAGUUCUUAUGUGAAUAUUAGUUCCAACUUGUUUUGUUGUGGUAAGAGGGUUUUGUAUUAAACACGGUGGUAUUGAUGCAUAGAGAUUAACCGCAGAGUUGAUACUCUCCUGCCAUGUUGGUUAUUAUCAUAGCAGAGAAGACUGCAGUAAACCAACAAGUAAACCGUGACCUGAUCUACCCACAGCCUCAAGAGAUCUGAUGGACUCAAAAAGUAAGUUCGAUUGCAUAUUAUUUUGAAAAUCGACCGGAUCCACCGUAUUUUUACAUGAGUGACUUCCAGUAUACCCGAUCCUACCGAGCAGUAUUGACGCAGGAGGUCCGCGUCUCGCGUCAAAACACAAACUCGUUCUUUUCGCGUGCGACACAUUGAGCCGUAUCUGGGAUGCGUCUAACACGCAGCCACACUGGGACUGGUGUGCAUUGGCUGACUGACUUUAACGGCCGCGUUUCACUGCGUUAUCGUGGCCGCAUCGUUCACGCGCCAUUGACGUUUCUGGUGUGUUAACAGGGUCAUAGUGCGAAAAUUACAUUAACUUUUGGGUUGAUGGCUCAGAUGUAGAUCCACAACUAAGAUAAUUUUGUCAAUUAAUUUGUGAGUUAACAAGUUAACUUGCCCAGCCUUAAUAUUCGUGAAUAGAUGGGUGCUAACCAAUCCACAAGAAGCAGAUAUUUUUGACAAAAAAAAAAAACAUCAAAAAUCCAGUCCCAUGCUAAUGUUGUCUUCAUAGUUGACUGAAAGUUCUCAGGCUUACAGUGUGAAUGUCACGACAGUCAACGUUUCGAGGUUACUAACAUUGUGGAAUAUAUUAAUUUGCAGAACGCCAGAAGAACACGCCAAGUGGCAAAAGAAGGCACAUUGUGUUUCUGCCGUGCAUCAUGUUGUAGCAUUUAAUAUUGUAUGUUUAGCAUACAAAUAUUUACUGUAUUUGACAUUGCUACUGCAUUAGCAAAAGUUGAGCAUAGGCUGUUUUUGUCUGGAUUUUGUAUUUAAUCGAGAGCCCCUGAGUACUCCUUACAAUUCCAAUAUGGCAGCUCAUUUUCUUUACAUUUGUGAAAUUAUGUCAACUUCUACAAUUACUGCCAGGAGAAAAUUGGACAAAUAGUGAGUAGUGAACACCUCCCCGUUCAAAUGUUUAUAGUUUCCUAUCGAGUCCAUAAAAUGGUGGGAAGCACUACAUGAAGCUUCUGUAACAGUUUUAAACAUCACAGUACAUAAUAAUUGGUCACUCGUCCUGGUUCAUAUUUUCCAGAAUUGAGUGGCACAGAAUCUAAAGCCAUCGAGUGUUUUACUCCCUCCUUCAACAGCAGCAAGAAUUCAAGAGUGACUUUUUUUAAAUACAUAUCAUUAUGGGUUUCAACUACUGUGUAGUUGCUGUAUUGACAAACUCAUACGUUGGCUUAGCUCUUCAAUGUCGACGCAUACGCUCGCAUGACAUGAUUUUAUUUCUCUCGCAAACACCGGUACAUUAGAGCAUGCACUAACUACUUUUAGAUUCAUGUCUAUUUUUAUAUCAAACCUUUCAGAACGGAGUCUUUAUUUACUGCCAGACCCCCAAGGGUCAGUGUUGACUUUGAACCCCAAUGGCCACCUCUCGCAUACAGCUUUGUCAGAUGCAUAUUGAAGAUGCCCUAUCUUAAAAGGAGGUGACCAGUCAGAGUCAAACGGAGAUUAUUUGAACAGCAAUGACCGUGACGAUGUUGUUGCACAUGAAUGCAUUUCGAAAUGUCAAACACGUCAUAUGUGUAGCUGUAUUUUCUUGUUUGGUUAAAAAACAAAAAUAAAUACCUUUUUUUUUGUCAUCUUGUCUCCUGUAUGUAUGACCCACCAUUCUUUUUCUAACGAACCAUUUUGGCCGUUUUGGCUCCAUAAAAUGAUGAUAAUGCUUUUACCCCAAGCUUUACUCACAUUAAGUUCCAUGGACAUAAAUAUAUAUGGCGGAAAACACUCAGGUGACUUGAACCCCCAAUUUGGCCAAAUUUCAAAAUUGUCCGAUAUGCAUGUGUGAUACAUCAUUGGAAAGCUUAAAAUCUCAAUUUUCUGGGAGAAGAAUUUUUUUGAACGAAAGGGCAUUUAAAAAAAAAUAAUAAAAAUUUAAACAGCAAAAGCCGAACUGGAGGCGAGAGCACGCGAGAGCAGAAUUAAAGACGCCACGAUUUUAACGAGAUAUUAUCGCACACUUACCAUGUUUCGACCCAAAAACUCCAUGUAGUAUGUAUCACCGAGUGUCGAGACACAGCUGUUAAUGGCCACAGUCGGAUUUUUAUUUUAUUUUAUGGGCGAAACAUGGUGAUAUAACAGGUGUCACGAUGCAGAAAUCGCAGACAUCAAUGAGUGGUCGAGAUUUUCUUUUCCAUAUAGUUACCCUUUUAAACCUUAUUUUUAAUGUUUUUCUUUAUUUGGAUGGAUUAUUUAUCAUCUAGUAUAUUGUGGACAGUAACAAAAAAAAAAAAAAAUACAAGUAAUCGAUAGUUAUGAGGUAGAUGUCCGUGACUUUUUUACAGACGCCAUUUUUCUCAUUGUGACAUAAUUUGUUUAAAAGUUUAAAGUAUGUGAGUGAAUAAUUUUUUUGAGUCGAUUUUUUUUUUUUUUAAACAAAAUGUGAGACAUCAAUUAAUGAUCCUAAGCUAAAAACUACAGACAUUUUGAAUGAAAAAUAUAAUUAAUUACCUUUGUUUUAUGGCUGGGUUGAAACAAAAGCGGUUGCGCAAUGUCUGUAAACGGGGGUUUUCAGGAUAAAACGGACAGAUUAAAAAUACUUGGGGGGGCUUAAUGCGCCAUGAAUCUGCUAUGGCAGCAUAUAGACAUAUUGUUCUAUCAAACACAACAGUUGUUUUGGCUUAAAAUACAGCAGUUUCCUUUACAGAGGAGUGCAAGAGCAGAAACUGCUUUUU